GACGAACGCUGGCGGCGUGCUUAACACAUGCAAGUCGAACGGAAAGGCCCUGCUUUUGUGGGGUGCUCGAGUGGCGAACGGGUGAGUAACACGUGAGUAACCUGCCCUUGACUUUGGGAUAACUUCAGGAAACUGGGGCUAAUACCGGAUAGGAGCUCCUGCUGCAUGGUGGGGGUUGGUAAGUUUCGGCGGUUGGGGAUGGACUCGCGGCUUAUCAGCUUGUUGGUGGGGUAGUGGCUUACCAAGGUUUUGACGGGUAGCCGGCCUGAGAGGGUGACCGGCCACAUUGGGACUGAGAUACGGCCCAGACUCCUACGGGAGGCAGUAGUGGAGAAUCUUGCGCAAUGGGCGGAAGCCUGAUGCAGCAACGCCGCGUGCGGGAAGACGGCCUUCGGGUUAUGAACCGCUUUCGCAUGUGACGUGGCGUGCGUGACGGUAAUGGGUAAAGAAGCACCGGCUAACUACGUG
This 468-nucleotide ribosomal RNA is filed under the name uncultured bacterium. RNAcentral describes it as "partial 16S ribosomal RNA". It matches the Rfam family "Bacterial small subunit ribosomal RNA", at positions 28 to 507 of the family's 1533-position model. The record is from RNAcentral.